CCUACGGGAGGCUGCAGUGGGGAAUAUUGGGCAAUGGAGGCAACUCUUACCCAGCAAUGCCGCGUGAAUGAAGAAGGUCUUCGGAUUGUAAAGUUCUUUAAUUGGGGACGAAAAAAAUGACGGUACCCAAGGAAUAAGCCCCGGCUAACUACGUGCCAGCAGCCGCGGUAAUACGUCGGGGGCUAGCGUUAUCCGGAAUUACUGGGCGUAAAGGGUGCGUAGGUGGUUUCUUAAGUCAGAGGUGAAAGGCUACGGCUCAACCGUAGUAAGCCUUUGAAACUGGGGAACUUGAGUGCAGGAGAGGAGAGUGGAAUUCCUAGUGUAGCGGUGAAAUGCGUAGAUAUUAGGAGGAACACCAGUGGCGAAGGCGGCUCUCUGGACUGUAACUGACACUGAGGCACGAAAGCGUGGGGAGCAAACAGGAUUAGAUACCCUAGUAGUC
This 442-nucleotide ribosomal RNA is filed under the name uncultured bacterium. RNAcentral's name for it is "partial 16S ribosomal RNA". It matches the Rfam family "Bacterial small subunit ribosomal RNA", at positions 338 to 795 of the family's 1533-position model. The record is from RNAcentral.